UGCCAGCCGCCGCGGUAAUACGGAGGGUGCAAGCGUUAUCCGGAAUCACUGGGUUUAAAGGGUGCGUAGGCGGCUAAAUAAGUCAGAAGUGAAAGCCCACAGCUUAACUGUGGAAUUGCUUUUGAUACUGUAUAGCUUGAAUUGGGUUGAGGUUAGCGGAAUGUGGCAUGUAGCGGUGAAAUGCAUAGAUAUGCCAUAGAACACCAAUUGCGAAGGCAGCUAACUGGACCUUGAUUGACGCUGAGGCACGAAAGCGUGGGGAGCGAACAGGAUUAGAUA
Molecule: ribosomal RNA, 279 nt
Filed under: uncultured bacterium
Lineage: Bacteria
Description: partial 16S ribosomal RNA
Rfam family: Bacterial small subunit ribosomal RNA
Source: RNAcentral